GUGGGGAAUAUUGCACAAUGGGGGAAACCCUGAUGCAGCAACGCCGCGUGAAGGAAGACGGUUUUCGGAUUGUAAACUUCUGUUCUUAGUGAAGAUAAUGACGGUAGCUAAGGAGCAAGCCACGGCUAACUACGUGCCAGCAGCCGCGGUAAUACGUAGGUGGCAAGCGUUGUCCGGAAUUACUGGGUGUAAAGGGAGCGUAGGCGGGAAGCCAAGUCAGCUGUGAAAACUACGGGCUUAACCUGUAGACUGCAGUUGAAACUGGUUUUCUUGAGUGAAGUAGAGGUUGGCGGAAUUCCGAGUGUAGCGGUGAAAUGCGUAGAUAUUCGGAGGAACACCGGUGGCGAAGGCGGCCAACUGGGCUUUAACUGACGCUGAGGCUCGAAAGUGUGGGGAGCAAACAGG
RNAcentral lists this ribosomal RNA (405 nucleotides) under bacterium. RNAcentral's name for it is "bacterial SSU rRNA". It matches the Rfam family "Bacterial small subunit ribosomal RNA", at positions 354 to 776 of the family's 1533-position model. RNAcentral also lists the same sequence under 1 other name. The record is from RNAcentral.